GGCUGGAUCACCUCCUUUCUAAGGAGCCUUCCUUGCUCGCAAGAGCAAAGGCAUCCUGGUCAAACACUCCGGCGACGGAGUGCAUCCUGUAAACCAGCUUUGUCUGCUAUUUAGUUUUGAGAGACCAGGGCCUCUCGAGGUAUUGAGAGGUUUUUUGCUCUUUGAACAAAAGAUGAACGCGUGAAUGUGGGCUAGUAGCUCAGCUGGCUAGAGCACACGACUGAUAAUCGUGAGGUCGGAGGUUCGAGUCCUCCCUGGCCCACCAGAUCUUCAGGGGGUGUAGCUCAGCUGGGAGAGCGCCUGCCUUGCACGCAGGAGGCCAUCGGUUCGAACCCGUUCACCUCCACCAGUUCACGAUGAAGUUUAUCGAUCUUUGACAAUUGCAUAAGACAAACAACGAUGCACGAGCAAGAAGUGCAAGGUUUACAACUGUAACAACCAAUAGAGCUUUAAAGACUUUUUUAUGGUCAAGCUACUAAGGGCGUACGGUGGAUGCCUUGGCAUCGGGAGGCGAUGAAGGACGCGGUAAGCUGCGAUAAGCUUCGGGGAGCCGCUAAACAGGCUUUGAUCCGGAGAUUUCCGAAUGGGGAAACCCGGCGGGGAUUAUGCCCCGUCAUCGCAUGGUGAAUACAUAGCCAUGCGAGGCGAACGCAGGGAACUGAAACAUCUAAGUACCUGCAGGAGAAGAAAUCAAUUGAGAUUCCGUCAGUAGUGGCGAGCGAACGCGGAAUAGGCCAAACCAGAGUUACUACGGUGACUCUGGGGUUGUGGGACCCCAACGUGGGAUUGAGAAUGGGUAGCUGAAGGCUCUGGAAAGUGCCGCCAUAGCGGGUGAUAGCCCCGUAAGCGAAACCUUGACUCACCCUAGGGUGUUCCCGAGUACCACGGGGCACGUGAAACCCCGUGGGAAUCUGGGUGGACCAUCAUCCAAGCCUAAAUACUCCCCGAUGACCGAUAGCGCAUAGUACCGUGAGGGAAAGGUGAAAAGAACUCCGAUGAGGAGAGUGAAAGAGAACCUGAAACCGUGCGCCUACAAGCAGUGGGAGCCCUAUGACUUCGGUCAGGGUGACCGCGUGCCUUUUGCAUAAUGAGUCAGCGAGUUACUUUCAGCAGCGAGGUUAAGCCGAUCUAGGUGGAGCCGUAGCGAAAGCGAGUCUGAAUAGGGCGAUUCAGUUGCUGGGAGUAGACCCGAAACCGGGUGAUCUAUCCAUGUCCAGGGUGAAGCGUCGGUAACACGUCGUGGAGGCCCGAACCCACUUAAGUUGAAAAUUGAGGGGAUGAGGUGUGGAUAGGAGUGAAAGGCUAAUCAAACUCGGAAAUAGCUGGUUCUCCCCGAAAUAUAUUUAGGUAUAGCCUCGUACGAAUCGUUCCGGAGGUAGAGCACUGAAUGGGCUAGGGGUCCUACCAGAUUACCAAACCUAAUCAAACUCCGAAUGCCGGAAACGAAUAUACGGGAGUCAGACGGCGGGUGAUAAGAUCCGUCGUCAAGAGGGAAAGAGCCCAGAUCGCCAGCUAAGGUCCCUAAGUCUGUGCUAAGUGGAAAAGGAUGUGGGAAUGCUUAGACAACCAGGAGGUUGGCUUAGAAGCAGCCACCCUUUAAAGAAAGCGUAAUAGCUCACUGGUCAAGUGGGCCCGCGCCGAAAAUGUAACGGGGCUCAAGCACAGCACCGAAGCUGCGGAUUCACACCUUAAGGUGUGAGUGGUAGGGGAGCAUUGUGGUAACCGCUGAAGGUCGAUCGUGAGGACGGCUGGAGGAGCCACAAGAGAUUAUGCUGACAUGAGUAGCGAAAAUGCGGGUGAGAAACCCGCACGCCGUAAGCCCAAGGUUUCCUCCGUAAAGGUAAUCUGCGGAGGGUGAGUCGGCCCCUAAGGCGAGGCCGAAAGGCGUAGUUGAUGGGAAACAGGUUAAUAUUCCUGUACCGCCUGUGAAUGCGAUGGGGGGACGGAGAAGGGUAGGUCAGCCGGGUGCUGGACGUCCCGGUUUAAGCGUGUAGGUGGGAGCGGUAGGCAAAUCCGCUGCUCCAUUCAACAUCGAGGCGUGAUGACGAGGGCUUUAAGCCCAUAAAGUGAUUGAUCCCAUGCUCCAAGAAAAGCCUCUAAGCUUCAGUUCAUAGGUGACCGUACCGUAAACCGACUCUGGUGGGCGGGCAGAAAAUGCUCAGGCGAUUGAGAGAACUCUGGUUAAGGAACUCGGCAAAAUAACACCGUAACUUCGGGAGAAGGUGUGCCCUCAUUAGGUGUAGCGAUACGCACGCGAAGCCGAAGAGGGUCGCAGAGAAAUGGCGGUAGCGACUGUUUACUAAAAACACAGCACUCUGCAAACUCGUAAGAGGAAGUAUAGGGUGUGACGCCUGCCCGGUGCCGGAAGGUUAAGGGGAUUUGUCAGCGCAAGCGAAGCAUUGAACCGAAGCCCCGGUAAACGGCGGCCGUAACUAUAACGGUCCUAAGGUAGCGAAAUUCCUUGUCGGGUAAGUUCCGACCUGCACGAAUGGCGUAACGACUUCCGCACUGUCUCGACCAGAGGCUCAGCGAAAUUGAAUUCUCGGUGAAGAUGCCGAGUACCCGCGGCAAGACGGAAAGACCCCGUGAACCUUUACUACAGCUUGGCAGUGACGUUCGGGAUAGUUUGUGUAGGAUAGGUGGGAGACUUUGAAGCCGGGACGCUAGUUUCGGUGGAGUCGUCCUUGAAAUACCACCCUGAUUGUUCUGGACGUCUAACCUCGGCCCGUGAUCCGGGUCAGGGACACUGCCUGGUGGGUAGUUUGACUGGGGCGGUCGCCUCCCAAAGUGUAACGGAGGCGCG
RNAcentral lists this unclassified non-coding RNA (2803 nucleotides) under uncultured fungus. RNAcentral describes it as "sequence contains 18S rRNA gene, ITS1, 5.8S rRNA gene, ITS2, 28S rRNA gene". The stretch from base 466 to 2803 matches the Rfam family "Bacterial large subunit ribosomal RNA", at positions 1 to 2310 of the family's 2925-position model. The record is from RNAcentral. Lineage: Eukaryota; Fungi.